UACGUAGGUGGCAAGCGUUGUCCGGAUUUAUUGGGCGCAAAGCGAGCGCAGGCGGUUCAUUAAGUCUGAUGUGAAAGCCCACGGCUCAACCGUGGAAGGUCAUUGGAAACUGGGGAACUUGAGUGCAGAAGAGGAGAGUGGAAUUCCAUGUGUAGCGGUGAAAUGCGUAGAUAUAUGGAGGAACACCAGUGGCGAAGGCGACUCUCUGGUCUGUAACUGACGCUGAGGCUCGAAAGCGUGGGGAGCAAACAGGAUUA
RNAcentral lists this ribosomal RNA (257 nucleotides) under uncultured prokaryote. RNAcentral's name for it is "partial 16S ribosomal RNA". It matches the Rfam family "Bacterial small subunit ribosomal RNA", at positions 524 to 780 of the family's 1533-position model. The record is from RNAcentral.